This 273-nucleotide long non-coding RNA is filed under the name Ananas comosus (pineapple). RNAcentral describes it as "long non-coding RNA (ACOM_LNC006386)". Lineage: Eukaryota; Viridiplantae; Streptophyta; Magnoliopsida; Poales; Bromeliaceae. The record is from RNAcentral.
GGGCUCUUGAACGUGUCAAGUGCUUGACCAAAGUUUGGAACGAGGUCCUUUGAUCAAAUUCUGUCUUCAGCAUUCGUCUUUGAUUUCUUUACUUCUUUUAGUUAGUUACUUCCUUAGUUUGUUCUGUACACUAUACUGUUUUUUAGUGAUUUUUUUGUUGCCUUCGGCUUUUAAGGAGGCUUCAGCUGCCUUCAUCUUGUACGCUUAGUUCAUUUUCCUUAAUGAAUAAAGCAGGUAGCUUGCUAUCUAUUUCUCAAAAAAAAUAUUCUCUGA